Molecule: ribosomal RNA, 514 nt
Filed under: uncultured bacterium
Lineage: Bacteria
Description: partial 16S ribosomal RNA
Rfam family: Bacterial small subunit ribosomal RNA
Source: RNAcentral
GACGAACGCUGGCGGCGUGCCUAAUACAUGCAAGUCGAGCGAAUUGAUUUGGAGCUUGCUCCAAUGAUGUUAGCGGCGGACGGGUGAGUAACACGUGGGUAACCUGCCUUAUAGAUUGGGAUAACUUCGGGAAACCGGAGCUAAUACCGAAUAAUACUUUUUGACACAUGUCAGUUAGUUGAAAGACGGUUUCGGCUGUCACUAUAAGAUGGACCCGCGGCGCAUUAGCUAGUUGGUGAGGUAACGGCUCACCAAGGCAACGAUGCGUAGCCGACCGGGGAGGGUGAUCGGCCACACUGGGACGGGGACACGGCCCAGACUCCUACGGGAGGCAGCAGUAGGGAAUCUUCCACAAUGGGCGAAAGCCUGAUGGAGCAACGCCGCGUGAGUGAAGAAGGAUUUCGGUUCGUAAAACUCUGUUGCAAGGGAAGAACAAGUAGCGUAGUAACUGGCGCUACCUUGACGGUACCUUGUUAGAAAGCCACGGCUAACUACGUGCCAGCCGCCGCCGUAA